RNAcentral lists this long non-coding RNA (4241 nucleotides) under Sus scrofa (pig). RNAcentral's name for it is "lncRNA (ENSSSCG00045038812.1)". The record is from RNAcentral. Lineage: Eukaryota; Metazoa; Chordata; Mammalia; Artiodactyla; Suidae.
AAAAAAACAUAAAAAGUAGAAAGGAAAAAGAAUACACAGGAAUAACUAUGUUUGCUAUUUGCUAUAUUACCUCCUAGUACUAUUUCACAGAGUUAAGAUCAUUUUUAUCUAUAAUCACAAAUCCACUUGAAACAUACAUUCUUUGCUGACCAAGGCUCUUCAUGGACGUUUAUUAGCAUUUACCGCUAAGAACAAAAGCAAACAGCUAUCUGCUGCUUAUGCGCCUCAAUGUUCUAAGUGCUUUACAUAUGUGAACAUAUUUGGUCUUCAGCUCUGCCCUAAGAGGUAGGUAUUAUUAUCUUCAUUUUAAAGAACAGGAAACUGACUUCACAUAAACUAUCUGAGAAUACCAUAACUGACUUGGCCUUCCCGCCCUUCCUUGAUGUUUUGGAUGCUCACAAAUGAUAAAACUGUAACGACCAUAGUUAAUGUUAAGUUCUGAUACUGCACGUUAUUAGCAAACUAAAAAGGGAAGCGCGGUCUUUUUAUUUACUUAUUUUUAAUUUUUUCUUUUUACAGGCACACCUGCAGCGUAUGGAAGUUCCCCAGCUAGGGGUCAAAUUGGAGCUGCAGCUGCAGCCCACACGACAGCCAUGGAUCCAAGCCACAUCUGCGACCUACAGUACAGCUUGUGGCAACACUAGAUCCCUAAUCCACUGAGUGAGCCCAGGAAUUGAACCCGAGUCCUCACAGAGACAACGUCGGGUCCUUACCCUGCCAAGCCACACCAGGAACUCCACACACACAGCCUUUUUAUCAGACAUUGCUGAGUAAGUGGCUGCAAAAAGAAAAGGUAAUAAAAAGCAAGGCCGUUUUUAUACUUUCAAGACUCUUGGACUGACUAUAACACUGAUUCUAAGUCUCAUGGCCAGAAACUCACUGAAUCAUGUUUUUCCUAAAGAACAGUCAUUACUGGUGAUGCCACCUUCCCUCCAUGACCAUAAGAACGGGUGGUACGGUCUUAGGAAAAGGAAACUGUGUCAUGACAAAGCAAAACUACUCCAGUAUGAUCAGUCAGCCAACAGCCAGCUGCAUCAGGAAAUCAUCUAGGUUAACUAUGUUGUUCUGGCAGACCACACUGCCUUUCUACCUUCCAACUAAAGACAACGUUGUCAACUCCUUCAGAAAUGCUUCCCUAGGAGUUCCUUGUGGCGCAGUGGUUAACAAAUCCGACUAGGAACCAUGAGGUUGCAGGUUCGAUCCCUGGCCUUGCUCAGUGAGUUAAGGAUCCGGCGUUGCCGUGAGCUGUGGUGUAGGUUGCAGAUGCAGUUCAGAUCCCCGCGUUGCUGUGGCCCUGGCGUAGCCCAGCGGCUACGACCCCUAACCUGGGAACCUCCAUAUGCUGCGGGUGCGGCCCUAGAAAAGGCGAAAAGACAAAAAGACAAAAAAAAAAAAAAAAAAAAAAAAAAAAGAAAGAAAGAAAAAGAAAUGUUUCUCUAAACUUCGAUGGUAAGACCUCUGUCCCUAUACUAACCAUACCAAAGGUUAGCUAAGUUUCAGUGAGUAGGCAAAUGCGCCUUUACUGCCAGCCUGAUUGUUUAUAGGAAUAAGCCACUGUCCUAUUUUGUCAUAAACACAGCCUUUUGCUCACUACAGAUAGAGUAUUUCUUUUUUAAUGAAGAAAAAAAAAAGUUCCCCCUUGAAGCAAGCUUCCAUCACUCAAAAGAUACCUGGGGCUGAAAUGCCCUUUACCUGCUUUAUUUACAUGAGAAACACGGCAGAAAGAAACUUUAUGCUCUCCACCAUCUAAUUUCUCUGAGCUACAGCCAUUGAUUCUUUGUAAGUUUAUUUAUUCAAAACAACAGCACAAACAAUCCUUUUUUCUUGGGUCAGCAGCUUAGAGAAUUAACAUCAAUCAUCAAAGGAGACGGGGCUGAAAGCAAGAUGGAAGCCCAUUUUCGCAGAGAUUGAUUUUUUAAAGCCAAAACACCCAGGCAUAAGCAGGAGGCUAUUUACCAUUGAAAAGGUUCAACUUGAAAGUCACAGCUAAGAACUGGGCACUCACAGUACUGACCAGCUUCCUUGAAAUCUUAAAAAUUUUUUAAAAAAAAUCACUUACAUUUUUGUUUUUUGAUGGCCUGUGAGAGUUUGAUUACUUCACUUUAUAAAGCCCACCUGAAUAGAUUAAAACAAGAGGAGGGGGCAUUCCACAGCAGAGGGAAGUAAAUCAAUGUUGGUGUUUAUUAUAAUGAUUUUCUAAUGGCUUCUCUACUCUCUUUACUCACUUUGAUGUAUUUUAAAAUGGGAAAAGUUCAUCAAAGACCACUUUGAUUAGAAGCUUAAAUACAUUUAAAUAACUAUCUCUGGCAUGCUUUAAAGGUGAUUUGCUCCAUAAGUCCUAGCAAAAUCAUUCUUUGAAAACCUUGAUUUGCUCCUUGCUAGGCAUGGAGCUCAAUUAUUUUUCCUUGCAAGGUGGGGGUAGAGGGUUCCUGUCUGAAAAUGAAGUCAGAAGGGUCAGUAUUCCCGAGACUAAGAACUGCAAAAAGUAAUUGGUUUAUAGCCAUUUUACACCUUGUCGUGUCAGGGGAAUGUGUUUCCUUCCUAUAGCUCUUCUGGAGAUUUAUAUAAGGUGAGGAACGUAUUAGACCAAGCAUGUAUAAACUAUUGGCCUCCUAUUUCGGUAGAAUGUGCUAUAUUCUAUACUUUAGAUAUUUUUAAAGGUCUGCCAUAUUGUUAAAUCAAUUUCAGGAGAAAAUGUGAGAUUUUUCAGCCCAGGGUAUAAGCAAAUAAAGAAAGAUGAAAGAAAGGCCCCAUAUAUCCAGGUUGGUGAGUGGAAAGGACCCUGGUGUUAUCACUAUUUUCUGUCAAAUUGAGACAAAAAAUUUAUUUCAGUUAAGAAGUUGAUAUCAAAGCCAUCAAUCACCCACUUGUCUGAGAAUGAAGUGGGAACAUCCAUUUGCUCUCCAGAUGUAAAAACAAAGAUUUUUAGCCUUUAAGUCACAGGGAUUAUGCUGAGGAAUAAGGGCCAUUCCUUGGAAGGGAGAAAAUAAAUUCAUUAAAUUAAAUCCAUUAAAACCACAAAGGACGUUUACCUAAUUUAAACACACACACACACACACAACUUGACAAUGCGGUAUAAUCUGUUAACCAUUUGGCACGUACUAUUUACUCCCACCCUUAGAUCACAGACAAAUCAGCAAACUAACAGAAGGCAUGUAUUAUUAUCUUUGGCUAUUCUGAGUAAUCUUGUAGCGUCCACGUUCUGCAGGAUGUUGUGCAGUGAGAAAAUGCAAAAUCGAGGAGAAAAACAAAAGGGCUGCCACAAAGAAUGACAGCAAUUUUAACAGAUUAUAAAGCAUGAUAGUUAAUAUAAUGUCUAUGCCCAUCUCUGAGGAUUAGGUGAAAUUCAAGUGAAGCUACCUGCCCCCUCCGCCCCCCGGGCCAGCUCUUGGGCAUAAUCCACCAGCUUCAGGAGGAGACGCUGGAAACCCAAGCCAAAGUCGCUGUCUGCUCCAAAUGGCUGUGCGGUGGCCUCCACAGUGAGAAGCGAUCUCAGAGGCCUUCAGGGACGGGGGGAUGCGUAUGAGAUCACAAUCAGUUGUGAGGGGACCUCAAAGACAACGCUGUUGAUCAAAAUGCUCUGAGACAAGGUACGUUUGAAAGCGUGAGUUGGAACGAAAGUGGCAAAAGGAAGAAAAAGGCUUUGGUGCGCUCUGAAAAUAAAAUUUCCUAAGUGGCGCAUCCAUUCUCAGCAUGAUGGUCCAAUCCCCAAAAAACAAUAUACAGGAGAUAAGCAUCGGACUUUCAGGGGCCGUCGGUGAAAAUGUGUCUUACUUGUCCAAGGUCGGGAGCAUUGAAAAACGUACUCCAAGGCAAAGGCCUGGGUUACUAACCUAAAAUAGAUGGGGGUUCUUUCAAACAAAACACAAGUCCUGAGACUGGUUUGAACCCAAGAAGGAUAAUACAGAAGAAUAUAAAAACAGGACAUCAGAGUGAAAGAAUUAACUUGAGACAGUUCCUGUGUGGCGCAGCAGGUUAAGCAUUCAGCAUUGCAGCAGCUACGGAGCCGGUCACAACUCUAGUGUGAGUUCGAUCCCUGGCCUAAGAACAUCCACACGCCUCAGAGGCGCUGGGCUGGGGGGAGGGAGAAGUAACUUGAGAUCAACGAAGCAGGAAGAGAGAGGGUAGAAGUUAUAAAGAGCUGGUGUGGUGACACAAUGUGGAAAUUUUAAAGGGGAAAAAGAAAAAGAAUGAGACCAGGUGUGGGACUAAAUUUACGAGCUCANAAAAAAAAAAAAAAA